Fukomys damarensis (Damara mole-rat) is the source of this 520-nucleotide long non-coding RNA. RefSeq lists it as uncharacterized. NCBI's taxonomy places the organism in Eukaryota, Metazoa, Chordata, Mammalia, Rodentia, Bathyergidae. The transcript is spliced from 4 exons. The record is from RefSeq and is a predicted model, not a curated record.
UAGAAUCCAGAAAGGUAUAUUCUUGUCCUUGGCUGCUUCCUCCUCUGGUUCUUUCUUUCCUUGCUCUGCUUCCUGACCACAUGAAGUGGGCCCUUCCGCUACGAUAGUCUGCCUCAUCAUAAGCCUAAAACAAUGGCUGACUAUGGACUGAAACUUAUGAAAUCGUGAGCCAAAGAAAAUCUUUCCUCCUUUAAGUUAUCAAGGUCAGAAGAGAGAAGUGCUGCAGAUCCCCAGACUCAGAAUCUUUGAUGAAGAUACCCACAGGGAACCACGGAACAACAGAUGACCUUACAAGUCAAAGAAAGAACUCACUGUACCUUGGACUGGGGAGCCACGUCAAGCAACAAGCCAGAGUGCUCAAAGACAUCUGAAGUGGAUCAGUAACAAUGUUCAGACAGCAACAUUCAUAAAUUCUAUGCUGAGGAGCGCUAUUCUAAAGGAGAAGAGACGUGUGUUGAAUUUUGAAGAACAAACGAUAUGAAGAAAAGAAAGUCCGGGGGUUCCAGACGAGGAAGAGAGG